UUACGGCCACAUUACGUUGAAACACCAGUUCUCGUACGAUUACUGAAGUUAAGCAAAUUCGAGCCUGGUCAGUACCUAGAUGCGAGACUGCUUGUGAAUACCCUGUGCUGUAAG
This is a non-coding RNA of Acanthosepion pharaonis, 114 nucleotides long. The record is from the annotation of a GenBank genome assembly. Lineage: Eukaryota; Metazoa; Mollusca; Cephalopoda; Sepiida; Sepiidae.